UGGAAGAGCAUCCAUUUUUGAAUUCGCCCAACCGGCACCGACAUUCUAGAAGAGACGGAUCGAAUCGUCGACAGCUUCCUUCCUCCUCCUCCCGCUAGUCGGCGACCACCGAUGGCACCGGCCCAUACCCUGAGAUGGAUGGAGGAGGCCCAGUCGCGCACCUACGCGAUGAGCGCUGCCUUCGAGAUCUAGGAUUCCCACAGACGGCCUUCCAGCAGUUCCAGUACGCGUUCUUCUUCGCCUUCUACUUCAGAGUAUUCCUUUACCUCCUCAACGGUGCCCGAUGGCCUUCCACACCCUAUGCUCCCGCGUGUACCUCGGGUACCCCACCGUUGCCCAGGUAAUCGCUAGCUCGACUCUCAGAAUGGUACUCGGUGACGGAUGGUUCUGGAUAGUAAAUACGAUACUCGUGUAUUACUUUCCAGCGAUAGAGGAGAGCGGGAUUCUUCUAUGCGAUAGCUGCAAGGAAGAAAUUGGCCAAAAAUUCUGUUAUUAGUUGCGCAACAUAGAGUUUGACUUAGAAUUUAACAAGAGGAGAUGCAUGCAUGAAGCAAAAUGUCCAAAGGCACACAGGAAGGUUUUGCGAAAAUCUUUGAAGCAGCAAAUGAACUCAAUCGGGAGCUGACUGAAUCAUCUUUAUGUCGAGCCGGAAAUAGUAUUCGAUCAAGAAGGCGAUCAAGGAAGAGCUCGAGAAGGGGAUGCGAGCACCGACCUCGAUCGAAGUGAGUUGCCUCUGGUAGAACAUAUCGGCGGACUCCGGAACAGACACGCCGGUGGUCGGGUCGCGGUC
This is a long non-coding RNA of Zingiber officinale, 790 nucleotides long. RefSeq lists it as uncharacterized. The transcript is spliced from 5 exons. NCBI's taxonomy places the organism in Eukaryota, Viridiplantae, Streptophyta, Magnoliopsida, Zingiberales, Zingiberaceae. The record is from RefSeq and is a predicted model, not a curated record.